RNAcentral lists this ribosomal RNA (275 nucleotides) under uncultured bacterium. RNAcentral describes it as "partial 16S ribosomal RNA". It matches the Rfam family "Bacterial small subunit ribosomal RNA", at positions 523 to 796 of the family's 1533-position model. The record is from RNAcentral.
AUACGGAGGGGGCUAGCGUUGUUCGGAUUUACUGGGCGUAAAGCGUGUGUAGGCGGAUGUCCAAGUCUGGUGUGAAAUCUUUACCGCUUACCGGAAAGAGGUCACUGGAAACUGGGCGUCUGGAGGUGGGUAGAGGCAAGCGGAAUUCCUGGUGUAGCGGUGGAAUGUGUAGAUAUCAGGAGGAACAUCGUUGACGAAGGCGGCUUGCUGGGCCCAACCUGACGCUGAGACACGAAAGCGUGGGGAGCGAACGGGAUUAGAAACCCCAGUAGUCC